Long non-coding RNA from Saccostrea echinata, 484 nucleotides. RefSeq lists it as uncharacterized. The record is from RefSeq and is a predicted model, not a curated record. NCBI's taxonomy places the organism in Eukaryota, Metazoa, Mollusca, Bivalvia, Ostreida, Ostreidae. The transcript has 3 exons.
ACCCAGGAAGAGAAGUUUUUUUUAAUUAUUUAAUCCCUCUCCCUUCUCUUUUCUAACAUUACUAACCAACUCCUUCUGUAUCCUCUAUUUGGCCCUUUCCCUACCUAACUGUCCCCAUUUGCUAACUUCUUUUUUAACUUCUUUUGUUGUAAGGAUUAUGUUAUUUGAUUUUUUGUGAUUUGUUGAAUUGUUUUGAAUCAUUACUAAUCUUCUGCCAGUUGUAUAUUUUCAGGGACGGGAAGGAGGGAGGAUGCAAGAAGAUGAGGCUGAUCAGCAGAAGAAGAGAGGUCCAUUGUCCAGAUUGAAACAUUGGUCAACAUUGGCCCAAGUGGUCAGGGUUUGGCUGAUCUCGAUCCCCGAGAGGAAGUGAGGAUGAUCACCUGCAACAGAGUUCAAGCAUCGACUGCACGCCACCAAGAGUUGGCUUCUAAGGAAAGGAGACUGUCAGCGGAAGAGGAAUUCACAGAAAAUUAACAGAAGAGGA